GUCCCGCAACGAGCGCAACCCUUAUCCUUUGUUGCCAGCGAUUCGGUCGGGAACUCAAAGGAGACUGCCAGUGAUAAACUGGAGGAAGGUGGGGAUGACGUCAAGUCAUCAUGGCCCUUACGACCAGGGCUACACACGUGCUACAAUGGCGCAUACAAAGAGAAGCGACCUCGCGAGAGCAAGCGGACCUCAUAAAGUGCGUCGUAGUCCGGAUUGGAGUCUGCAACUCGACUCCAUGAAGUCGGAAUCGCUAGUAAUCGUGGAUCAGAAUGCCACGGUGAAUACGUUCCCGGGCCUUGUACACACCGCCCGUCACACCAUGGGAGUGGGUUGCAAAAGAAGUAGGUAGCUUAACCUUCGGGAGGGCGCUUACCACUUUGUGAUUCAUGACUGGGGUGAAGUCGUAACAAGGUAACCGUAGGGGAACCUGCGGUUGGAUCACCUCCUUACCUUAAAGAAGC
RNAcentral lists this ribosomal RNA (461 nucleotides) under Salmonella enterica subsp. enterica serovar Agona. Its description in RNAcentral is "bacterial SSU rRNA". It matches the Rfam family "Bacterial small subunit ribosomal RNA", at positions 1084 to 1533 of the family's 1533-position model. Lineage: Bacteria; Pseudomonadati; Pseudomonadota; Gammaproteobacteria; Enterobacterales; Enterobacteriaceae. The record is from RNAcentral.